Molecule: ribosomal RNA, 484 nt
Filed under: uncultured bacterium
Lineage: Bacteria
Description: partial 16S ribosomal RNA
Rfam family: Bacterial small subunit ribosomal RNA
Source: RNAcentral
AUUGAACGCUGGCGGCAGGCCUAACACAUGCAAGUCGAGCGGAUGAAGGGUGCUUGCUCCUGGAUUCAGCGGCGGACGGGUGAGUAAUGCCUAGGAAUCUGCCUGGUUGUGGGGGAUAACGUCCGGAAACGGGCGCUAAUACCGCAUACUUCCUGAGGCAGAUAGAUGGGGAUCUUCGGACCUCACGCUAUCAGAUGAGCCUAGGUCGGAUUAGCUAGUUGGUGGGGUAAAGGCCUACCAAGCCGACGAUCCGUAACUGGUCUGAGAGGAUGAUCAGUCACACUGGAACUGAGACACGGUCAAUACGACUACGGGAGGCAGCAGUGGGGAAUAUUGGACAAUGGGCGAAAGCAUGGUACAGCCAUGCCGCGUGUGUGAAGAAGGUCUUCGGAUUGUAAAGCACGUUAAGUUGGGAGGAAGGGCAGUAAGUUAAGACCUUGCUGUUUUGACGGUACCAACAGAAGAAGCACCGGCUAACUUCGUG